CUGAACAGUAAUGAGAGGCUACAUACCUUGUCUCCUAGUGAGCUAGCAGGAGAUUCAGUUUCUCUUUUACAAAAUCACUUUAAUUCUCAACUUCUUUUUCUUUUUGGUUGGGAGCAUGCACAGAAGCUCUCUGCCUGAAGAGAUGAUUUGUUCACCUCUCACUGACAGAGACUUGGAAAACACCCAAGUUUGAUCAUGGCAACAAGGUCAUCUUGCUGCUCUCAGUGUAGAACCGAAGCGGAGACAAAAAGCUUGAUCCGAGCUGCUCCGGAGGUGCUUGGCUGCCCACGUGCCCAGCCUAGAUGACUCGGAGGGAUAUUCCUGAGCAAGAUACAGGGUUUUCUCCAUGGAGCUAAAUAUAACUUUUGAGCAGGGAAUAUGGUGACUCUGCCAGGGGAGGGAUCCCAGGCUGAGCCAGAGGGCCAGGGAUGGGGCAGGCCAGGGAUGGGAGGCUAGGAACGCUUCUCAGUGGACCUGAUACGCAGAUUGAGUUGAGGAGCUGUGGAACCAGCUCUCCAGAAGCGUCUCCAGCACAAACUCAGAAGGAUAGAGAAAGAAAAGAAGGGGACUGGAAUUGAGGAGACAGCAUGCUGACAGAAAGCACAGCUUGACUCAGGGAGGCUGAGAAAGUGGUGAAGGACCAUACCAGAAGAAAGGCUUGUUUGAAACACCCUAUGGCAGAGCCCAAGUGACACUGUUUAAAGCGGCAUGUGGAAUGACGGCCAAGGCCAGUGUUCUCCUGGAAGUUCAAAGUGUGAGAAUGGGAUGGAGCCAGCCAGGAAAACACUCUGCUUCUCAGAGGACUUCAAAGACUGAGAGAAGACACAGAACUGGAGGAAGGUGCAGAGGAGGGAGCCAAGCCCUUGGGACCAGACAGACAGCCAUCUGCCACACAGAGGCCUGCUCAUAUGCCCGGAAAGUCGAGAGCCACACAGGCUGCAUUUCUGCUCCACGGGCCUUGAAGUGGAGAAGACGGCUUGCUGCCAUUUUAUUCGGUCCUGUGGCUCCCGUGAAACUCCAGUCCCCACGCUCCUCACUGGGCCUCUUAAAGGUCCAUCUGUUUCCCCUCUCAACAAACUGACCUGUGUGGGCAAUAAUACCGAAGACCCUCCUCCAAGCUGUGACAGAUCAUUGAAAAUUGCUAGGAAAAGAACUGCAUCAUAACGACCCCAAUACUACGUCAGACCCGGAGAUCCCUAGGCGUGCUUUCUACCCCCAGAGUGUUUUCAGAGCAUGUGUCACUGCUUUGCGGCAGGCUUGUACUGUGAGCAUCCUCAUAACGGACACUUCCUCUGCGGCCCAGUUUACUUUUUUAUACGCUUAGUCAUGCAUACAGAUCCUAGCCGUGGCGACUGACUCAAAAUAACUCAUUUGGGGGCACUACAAAAAGAGUCUUUAUCGGCUGUUUUAAUAACAACACAGCCCACAUUAAACAGCUCAGUUUGGCUGCUUAGAUAUUCCUUCUCAAAUCAUGUCAUAUACAUUUUUGGAAACUACAUUAAAAUACUACGUAUUCUCCCAUCCUCCAACCCUUCAGUCUUUGUUUAUUGCUUUAGUUCAUUCCUGGAUUUUCUCCCUAAGCUGUGGGUAAGGAGUGCCACGGAUAAGUUCAUUUUUUUUGCUUCAAAGUGACAGAAAUGUCUGAUUUCUCUCUGGUUUUGGAAAAACUGAGUAGUCAUAGAAGAUCUAAAGCAGAAAAUCUCAAACCUCUUCAAGGGAGCUGCCUCUUGCUCUCCUUUCCUCUCUCCUUCUCUUUCUUCUUCCUGUCCUUUCCUUCCCUCCCUCCAUGUUUCCUAAAUAUCUGUAAUGUGCCCGCCAUUGUUCUAGAUGAGGAAUCAGACACAAAGGGGAGCAAGUACAGUGUCCCACAGUCUUCUGAAUGUCUUUAAGAAGACAACCUGAGAAAUAGAUAACAUGGCUUUCGUUGGUAUGAAAUCAUCCCAAGAUGUCCCUGCAUGCUUCGGGGGACACCUUCCUGGUUCAUAAUUCCUUUUCCUGCAGACUUCUCUGUUCAGGGCACAGGCCUAGAAAGGCACGAGACCGAGGACUUUAUUACUCACAGCAGCUGACGUGAGACAACAUUUUUUGGUACUGGUCCUGAGCCCCACUUCCACAGGGCAACGUGGAGAGGGACAGAUGACCCGUGUCACACCCACACAUGGCAGCUUGCUUACGAGAGAGGAUUCCUGAUUGCAGAGAACCCAAAUCUUUUUCAAUGCCUACCCUUUUCUUCAAUAGGAGACCUUACUCAACUUCUGAGAGUGCUUGAUAGGCGUGGAGAUUCUCCCCCUGUACGCCUUUCUCUUGCCCUCUGGAAUCCAAAUAAAACUAAAGGAGCUGUCAAGUGUCAGGUGAGACGUAAGUGCCUCCCUCCCCUCCACUGCCCCCCUCCGGUUAAAGCCCCAGCUAUUGUCCCUGCCCUGUUGGCUCUCUUUUCCUACUCUGCCUUCUCCUUCUUACCCUUGUCCGUAUUCUGCUCAGCUGGGAGCACAGGCCUGAGCGCUGAUGGCGUAGGAGCUCCAAUUUGAGAUCCAUUUAUCAAGAGCUGGAAUUGGCAAACCAUGGGCCCAGCCAAAUAGAUUGCAGUCUGUUUUUGUGCAUCUCUGGAGCUAGGGGUGAUACUUAGAUUUUUAAAAGGGUGUGUGUGUGUGUGUGUGUGUGUGUGUGUAUAAAACAAUAUGAGACAGAGCCCGCAAACCUGAAAUAUUUACUAUCUCAAACUUUAUAGGAAAAGUUUGCCAACUCCUAUUGUAGGAGAAAUUGUCAUGUUAUAGGGGAAAGGGGACCAUACAGAAAACAGCAGCAUGGAUGGACGUGCUGGGGGACCGGGCUAGCAUGCUAUCUCUUCAUUCUUCGAGGCAUCCUGCGUACCUCCUUGGUAGAGAGCAGACUGUAUGAUCUUCUUCAUGCCUUAGAAAGUGCAAAUUUCUCAGGCUCUAAAAUCGUACUCUCCGUCUCUGUCUCUCUCCGUUGCUCUCUCUUACUGUUGUGAAUUAAGUCAGGAAAAGUGAAGAGAAGCAUGUGAAUUAUUGUUCCAAUUAUGAUAUGUGAUUCAAACACGUGAGGGACCUUGGCUCAUCUUCCUCUCCGGGUUAAGUGCAGUUACAGCAUCAAUUAGGAUUUAGAUGAUGUUCUCAGAUCUGGGGAAUGGAUUGCUGGGUGCCAGGAAAAUAAUACUACAGUGUCUGUGCAUGCACGGAGCUAGCUGGACAGCUGCUCAAACGGAUUUCCUUUGUGCCGUCCACCAUCUGAGCUCUGUAGAAAUUCUCUCCUUUCAAAGUCAUCUUGGAGUCCCUGAGUCCUCAGAGCCCCGCAUUAUCUUAAUUUUUUUAACCUCUCUGUCACAUAAAGAUUUCAUAUUUUUGCUUAUACUUCAUAUACAUUGAAACAUGCUCAUGCUUGAGAAUAUUGAUGCUUCCUCUAAAAUGACUGUGGAUACUUUCUCCUUCCAGACUCUUUAUGGAGUUGACUCCAGCCUCUAAUCUUGGCCUUGAAAGGUGGCAAGCGGUUCAGUAACGUAGAAUACAGGACACUGACUUAGCUAAGUCUGAUUUUGACUCAAUCAAGAGUGCUAUUAAAAAAAGUGGACAUUUGAAUGGGGGUGGCUUGUCACCUUGAAGAGAGUAGCGGUUUUAAAUCAAUACACUCCAACAUCUUAGAAACAGAUGUUAAUAAGAUGCGGUAUUUGAAGGACAUUUCAGAAGAAUAGGAUUAUACUGAGUACUUUUCUAGUGUUUAUCAAAUUCUUCCCAAGUGACCAUGGAGUACAGAAAGGCAAGUGCCACCGUUCUCGGGGCUGUGAGUAUAUUCGCUUGUUUGAUCACCACAUUCCAAGAGCAGAUGUGAUUGUGCUCCUCAAUGGACAGGGGAGGAAACUGAGGCACAGGGAGGUAAAUGGAGUAGCUCAGAUACAGAACCUGAUGAUUUAGUUCCAGAGCUUUCAGCCUUUUCUGACUGACACCUCAUGCUCUCAGCAUGCCUAGUCACGUGCUGGAAGGGGGAUUCUCGACACUGGUCAUGAAUUACAGUCACCUGGG
This is a long non-coding RNA of Ailuropoda melanoleuca (giant panda), 4037 nucleotides long. The record is from Ensembl. Lineage: Eukaryota; Metazoa; Chordata; Mammalia; Carnivora; Ursidae.